Molecule: ribosomal RNA, 492 nt
Filed under: uncultured bacterium
Lineage: Bacteria
Description: partial 16S ribosomal RNA
Rfam family: Bacterial small subunit ribosomal RNA
Source: RNAcentral
AUUGAACGCUGGCGGCAUGCUUUACACAUGCAAGUCGAACGGUAACAGGCCUUCGGGUGCUGACGAGUGGCGAACGGGUGAGUAAUGCAUCGGAACGUGCCCAGAGGUGGGGGAUAACGCAGCGAAAGCUGUGCUAAUACCGCAUGUGAUCUGAGGAUGAAAGCGGGGGACCAAGCAGCAAUGUUUGGCCUCGCGCCUCUGGAGCGGCCGAUGUCAGAUUAGGUAGUUGGUGGGGUAAAGGCCUACCAAGCCGACGAUCUGUAGCUGGUCUGAGAGGACGACCAGCCACACUGGGACUGAGACACGGCCCAGACUCCUACGGGAGGCGGCAGUGGGGAAUUUUGGACAAUGGGCGCAAGCCUGAUCCAGCAAUGCCGCGUGCGGGAAGAAGGCCUUCGGGUUGUAAACCGCUUUUGUACGGAACGAAAAGGCUCUGGCUAAUACCUGGGGCUGAUGACGGUACCGUAAGAAUAAGCACCGGCUAACUACGUG